Molecule: long non-coding RNA, 360 nt
Organism: Dermacentor andersoni
Lineage: Eukaryota; Metazoa; Arthropoda; Arachnida; Ixodida; Ixodidae
Source: RefSeq, a predicted model, not a curated record
UUCUUUAUUCUAUGGUCUCACCACGACCUACUGUGUGGGUAUCACUAUGCGACCGCUGCGAGUCUGUCUUAUCGUUUCAUUCGGCGUCACUUCUGGCGGCGUUGGAUUUUCUUGAGGUGCUGCAGGCUGCAUGAUCUCGUGAGGGACAGGCGGAGAGGCUGCCAGUUGGGCUGGGGUCCCUUCCGAUGAAUGGAGCAGCAGGUGUCGACGAUUACGCUGAAGGACACCUCUGGGGGUCUGAACAAGCAUUGAGCCAUUCCAGCAGUCCAGCAAAUCCAGAGGGUGCAGUUACGUGAAAGCUACCACCACCGCAGUAACUCCUGUGCCUAGGAGAUGGAUAAAUUCUGAUCUGAAAUCUCA